This is a long non-coding RNA of Carassius gibelio (silver crucian carp), 1058 nucleotides long. RefSeq lists it as uncharacterized. NCBI's taxonomy places the organism in Eukaryota, Metazoa, Chordata, Actinopteri, Cypriniformes, Cyprinidae. The transcript has 6 exons. The record is from RefSeq and is a predicted model, not a curated record.
AACCCAUUCUCACUCCAAAGGCGUCAAAAACCGAAGCAUGGUCAAGCGCCCCUAGCGUCACUUUUAUGACGCCAAAUGUGCCUCUCGGCGUCGACUAUCGAAGCACUACGACCUUCAUUGCUUUCAGUGGGAAACUUUUGGCGUCAGAAUUCGCCACGAGGACAUGAGAUGUUUAUCGCUAUGAAAUCACGUUCAAGAAGUCUCAUUCAGCACACAUCGCGCGAUACUUGCUAUCAGUUCCACAGUUUGGCUGAAAAGACGUAAAGGCAGUCAGCCCAGUGGUGUUUCUGGAGAGGGAUUCCUUCAGAAAUGGAGAAGACAGAAAGCUGCGGAGGCAGAUAUUUGCAGCAGUCUAAAAUAUCGAGCUCAACAGCUAUUUUAAGAGCCAACCCUCACAAACCUUCCUAAAACCUAAAAGAGCUAUUACUGAGUCUCAGCGAAUCUUGCCACGAUCAGCUCUUCCCAGAAGAGAAGGAAGACCAAGGAUAUGAUUUGCUCAGGAUGAGGAAUGAAGAUGGCCAUCUUGAGCUCAAACAAACAGAAGUCCUCUGAUGAUCUCAUCAGCCAAAUGAGGGGUUUUGACCAAGUGAUGCUCUUGAAAGGAGUGAAAGAAGAGGAUGUGGUAAAUUGUCUUCAGAGAAAAGCUUCUCAAAAGAUCUUAAAACAGCUUGAAGAAUGGUCUGGGAUCUUAGGACUGAGAGAUCAUCUGGCUGAGAACAAGCUACACCACAUCAGUGCUGGAUAUCAACCACAAACUGUUUCCAGACACGAGAGAAGAAGAUCACGAUGGGGAGAUGAAACCAGUUUAGAUGUGAUGAUGGGAAUCAUUAUUUUCUGAAACAGUAUCACAUGUCUUAUAUGUAUCACAUGAUCUGUAUCACAGUUGACUGGAUGGGACUGUGUGACUUUUAAGGACAUUUCAUCACUCAUCUGUGUGAACUGAUUUAUAUAUGAGGUUAAUGUAUCUUUGAUGAUAAUUAUUUUCAUUGAAUCUUAUUUGUCUUGAUGCUACUUUAUCAACUUUAUAGUCUAUGCUUCAAUAAAAUGAAAAUGGUGAA